GUCAAGUACAAAGAGCAUCGGGUGGAUGCCUUGGCACUGGGAGCCGAAGAAGGACGUGAUAAGCUGCGAUAAGCUGCGGUAAGGAGCACAUAUCCGAUAUACCCGCAGAUUUCCGAAUGGGGGAACCCACAUGCGGUAAUGCGUAUGUAUCAUUAAGUGAAUACAUAGCUUAAUGAAGGGAACGGGGUGAACUGAAACAUCUAAGUAGCCCUAGGAAGAGAAAGAAAAAUCGAUUUCCUGAGUAGCGGCGAGCGAAAGGGAAAGAGGCCAAACCAAAUUGUUUACAGUUUGGGGUUGUGGACCACCGACAUUGACGAAGUUAUGCGAGCCGAAUAGGGUUGGAAAGCUCAAGCAGAGAAGGUAAUACUCCUGUAGGCGAAGCAGAAAGCGCAUAGGUGGCACCAGAGUAGGACCGGACACGUGUAACCCGGUCUGAAGCAGGAGGGACCACCCUCCAAGCCUAAAUACUACCCAGUGACCGAUAGCGAAUAGUACCGUGAGGGAAAGGUGAAAAGAACCCCGGGAGGGGAGUGAAAUAGAAUCUGAAACCUGAUGCUUACAAGCAUAGGGAGCGCAAGUGACCUAGUACUUUUUGUAGAACGGGCCAACGAGUUAUGGUAUGUAGCGAGGUUAAGUUGCUGGAGCAACGGAGCCGUAGAGAAAUCGAGUCUGAAUAGGGCGAGAGUUACAUGCUGUAGACCCGAAACCGGGUGACCUAUCCAUGAGCAGGUUGAAGUAACCGUAAAAGGUUAUGGAGGACCGAACCUAUAUCUGUUGAAAAAGGUUAGGAUGACUUGUGGAUAGCGGUGAAAUUCCAAUCGAACUCGGAUAUAGCUGGUUCUCCUCGAAAUAGCUUUAGGGCUAGCCUCAAGGUAAAGAUACACGGGGGUAGAGCACUGACUGUUCGCGGGGCCUUCACCGGUUACCAACAACUAUCAAACUCCGAAUACCGUGCUAUCAUACUUGGGAGUCAGACUAUGAGAGAUAAGUUCCAUGGUCGAAAGGGAAACAGCCCAGAUCAACAGCUAAGGUCCCAAAGAGUAAGUUAAGUGGAAAAGGAUGUGGGAUUGCACAAACAGCUAGGAUGUUGGCUUAGAAGCAGCCAUACAUUUAAAGAGUGCGUAAUAGCUCACUAGUCGAGUGAUCCUGCGCCGAAGAUAAACGGGGCUCAAACUUACCACCGAAGCUUUGGAAUUAGUAUAACUAAUUGGUAGAGGAGCAUUCUAUACAGGUAGAAGGAGGCGCGUAAGCAAAUCUGGACGGUAUAGAAGAGAGAAUGUUGGCAUGAGUAGCGUAAGGCGGGUGAGAAUCCCGUCCGCCGAAAAUCUAAGGUUUCCUGAGGAAGGUUCGUCCUCUCAGGGUAAGUCGGGACCUAAGCCGAGAGCGAACGCUGUAGGCGAUGGAUAACAGGUUGAUAUUCCUGUACCACCAAGGAUUGUUUGAAUGAAGUGGGGACACAGAAGGAUAGAUUGAGCACGCCGUUGGUUGAGCGUGUCCAAGCAGUAAGGCUUGAAAGUAGGCAAAUCCGCUUUCUACAAGGCUGAGCUGUGAUGGGGUGGUCGAAUGACCGGUAGCAAUCGAUUUCACGCUGUCAAGAAAAGCCGCUAAUGAGAUCCAAGGUGCCCGUACCGCAAACCGACACAGGUAGAUGAGGAGAGAAUCCUAAGGUGAGCGAGCGAACUAUUGUUAAGGAACUCGGCAAAAUAACCCCGUAACUUCGGGAGAAGGGGUGCCUGCUUCGGCAGGCCGCAGUGAAGAGGUCCAGGCAACUGUUUACCAAAAACACAGGUCUCUGCUAAAGCGAAAGCUGAUGUAUAGGGGCUGACGCCUGCCCGGUGCUGGAAGGUUAAGGGGAAGUGUUAGGGCAACCGAAGCACAGAACUUAAGCCCCAGUAAACGGCGGCCGUAACUAUAACGGUCCUAAGGUAGCGAAAUUCCUUGUCGGGUAAGUUCCGACCCGCACGAAAGGCGUAAUGAUUUGGGCACUGUCUCAACGAGAGACUCGGUGAAAUUUUAGUACCUGUGAAGAUGCAGGUUACCCGCGACAGGACGGAAAGACCCCAUGGAGCUUUACUGUAGCUUGAUAUUGAAUUUUGAUGCAGUAUGUACAGGAUAGGUAGGAGCCUAGGAAUCAUGCACGCCAGUGUAUGAGGAGGCGUUGUUGGGAUACUACCCUUGCUGUAUUGAAAUUCUAACCCUCGGCAUAGAAAACCGGGAGACAGUGUCAGGUGGGCAGUUUGACUGGGGCGGUCGCCUCCUAAAGAGUAACGGAGGCGUUCAAAGG
RNAcentral lists this ribosomal RNA (2284 nucleotides) under human metagenome. RNAcentral describes it as "bacterial LSU rRNA". It matches the Rfam family "Bacterial large subunit ribosomal RNA", at positions 1 to 2316 of the family's 2925-position model. The record is from RNAcentral.